RNAcentral lists this ribosomal RNA (460 nucleotides) under uncultured bacterium. RNAcentral's name for it is "partial 16S ribosomal RNA". It matches the Rfam family "Bacterial small subunit ribosomal RNA", at positions 338 to 795 of the family's 1533-position model. The record is from RNAcentral.
CCUACGGGUGGCAGCAGUGAGGAAUAUUGGUCAAUGGGCGUACGCCUGAACCAGCCAAGUCGCGUGAGGGAGGACUGCCCUGUGGAUUGUAAACCUCUUUUGUCAGGGAGCAACGCCGGCUACGUGUAGCCGGACUGAGAGUACCUGAAGAAAAGGCAUCGGCUAACUCCGUCCCAGCAGCCGCGGUAUUACGGAGGAUGCGAGCGUUAUCCGAAUUUAUUGGGUUUAAAGGGUGCGUAGGCGGAAUGCCAAGUCAGCGGUAAAAUCGCGGGGCUCAACCCCGCUCCGCCGUUGAAACUGGCGUUCUUGAGUGGGCGAGAAGUAUGCGGAAUGCGUGGUGUAGCGGUGAAAUGCAUAGAUAUCACGCAGAACUCCGAUUGCGAAGGCAGCAUACCGGCUCCAAACUGACGCUGAAGCACGAAAGCGUGGGUAUCGAACAGGAUUAGAUACCCUUGUAGUC